Molecule: ribosomal RNA, 331 nt
Filed under: Bacillus sp. (in: firmicutes)
Lineage: Bacteria; Bacillati; Bacillota; Bacilli; Caryophanales; Bacillaceae
Description: bacterial SSU rRNA
Rfam family: Bacterial small subunit ribosomal RNA
Source: RNAcentral
GGUUUUCGGAUCGUAAAGCUCUGUUGUUAGGGAAGAACAAGUGCCGUUCAAAUAGGGCGGCACCUUGACGGUACCUAACCAGAAAGCCACGGCUAACUACGUGCCAGCAGCCGCGGUAAUACGUAGGUGGCAAGCGUUGUCCGGAAUUAUUGGGCGUAAAGGGCUCGCAGGCGGUUUCUUAAGUCUGAUGUGAAAGCCCCCGGCUCAACCGGGGAGGGUCAUUGGAAACUGGGGAACUUGAGUGCAGAAGAGGAGAGUGGAAUUCCACGUGUAGCGGUGAAAUGCGUAGAGAUGUGGAGGAACACCAGUGGCGAAGGCGACUCUCUGGUCU